Molecule: long non-coding RNA, 527 nt
Filed under: Olea europaea (common olive)
Lineage: Eukaryota; Viridiplantae; Streptophyta; Magnoliopsida; Lamiales; Oleaceae
Description: long non-coding RNA (OEUR_LNC006765)
Source: RNAcentral
UCUAAUCUGUUUCACCAAGUAUAUCAUCAUCGAAAAGAGCAGUUUACAAUGAAGCAAGCAAAAUAAAAACUGCAACUUCACAUCUUUUGAUGUUAUUUUUCUAUAGCGAAUCUAUCAUUGGCAAUAUCUUCUAGUCAAUACAGCAUUGAGAGAGACAAAAAAUGGAAAAUUAGAUAUAAAACAAGAAGAAUCUGACGAAGUUGUUGAUGAUCAAUUUCUUCAGUUUGGAGGUGAAGAGUUGACAAGUUUGUUGUGCCUCUUGGAUGGACCAGAAGGAGCAACAAAGCUCCCUUUGGGCAGUCUUGCAGAAAAUAAGCCUUCUGGUGAAGAGUGCUUCAGCUGGGAAUGCUUCAAGAUCAUUACUGAAGCAUCUUCUUUCAUCAGUGUUCUCCCUGGCCUGAUCGCCACGCUAGUGUUGACGAGAAGAAAUCCAAUAAAUAAUAAAUGAAUAAGUUUCUGGGUUAUUGAAAAUGAUAGAGAUGGCAAAGGAGAAGAUGCCAUGAGAAAACUUUCCUGUAGGGUUUUGA